GUAGCAUAAUUAUUAGUUUUUUAAUUGAAAGCUUGUAUGAAGGGUUGGACGAGAUAAAAUCUGUCUUUAUUUAAAUUAUUAUAGAAUUUAACUUUUAAGUCAAAAGGCUUAAAUGUAUGUAAAAGACGAGAAGACCCUAUAGAUCUUUAUUUAACUAAUAUUUUGAUAAUUUAGGAUUAUUUUAGUUUAAAGUUUUAGUUAAAUUUUAUUGGGGUAAUAUAAAGAUUAAAUAAAUUCUUUUUAUUUAUUACAUUGAUUUAUGAAUAUAUGAUCCGAUAUUAUUGAUUAUAAGAUUAAGUUACCUUAGGGAUAACAGCGUAAUUUUUUUGGAGAGCUCAUAUCGAUAAAAAAGUUUGCGACCUCGAUGUUGGAUUAAAAAUUAGCUUGGGUGCAGAAGCUCAAGAUUUUGGUCUGUUCGACCAUUAAAUUUUUACAUGAUCUGAGUUCAGACCGGCGUAAGCCAGGUCGGUUUCUAUCUUUACUUAUCUAAAAUAUUUUAGUACGAAAGGACCAAAUAUUUAAUAUAAUUAUAUUUAUUUUUUGAAUAAUAUU
Molecule: ribosomal RNA, 552 nt
Filed under: Cicindela lagunensis
Lineage: Eukaryota; Metazoa; Arthropoda; Insecta; Coleoptera; Carabidae
Description: partial 16S ribosomal RNA
Rfam family: Bacterial large subunit ribosomal RNA (bases 119-482)
Source: RNAcentral